This is a long non-coding RNA of Pimephales promelas (fathead minnow), 294 nucleotides long. RefSeq lists it as uncharacterized. NCBI's taxonomy places the organism in Eukaryota, Metazoa, Chordata, Actinopteri, Cypriniformes, Leuciscidae. The record is from RefSeq and is a predicted model, not a curated record.
UGGUCCAUUUGUAUCUGUGGGACAAGAGAGAUCAUUGUGAACUAAUGAACUUUUCAGUGUGCCAAAUGAGAGAAGAAGAAUCAGAGAAAAUAUUUUGAUGUAGAGAGAUGCGGGAAUGUCAUCAGGCUCACCCCAGGGGAGUGGUGGGUUGGCUGGGGUCAGCAUUGGGAUCCAGGAGGAACCUGUUCUGGAUGAGUUUUGCUUCAGUGUCUGUGAUGGUCAGAUUAAGAACAGGAUAACCCAUCUGCUUGGUCCAUGUGUCCAUAAUGUCUGCCACAGGUAAGCCACUCUUCU